GCCCUCGUAGAUUAAAUGGUAAAUCACCCGCUCCCUGUCAACCCGACGACCACUACGAGUCCAGUGGGAGAUGGAGGUUCGAAUCCUCCUGAGGGCA
This is a non-coding RNA of Mycena rebaudengoi, 97 nucleotides long. NCBI's taxonomy places the organism in Eukaryota, Fungi, Basidiomycota, Agaricomycetes, Agaricales, Mycenaceae. The record is from the annotation of a GenBank genome assembly.